CCAUCGGGCUUUGCUUGGUGGUGAGAGUGGCGAACGGGUGAGUAAUGCGUGACCGACCUGCCCCAUACACCGGAAUAGCUCCUGGAAACGGGUGGUAAUGCCGGAUGUUCCAGUUGAUCGCAUGGUCUUCUGGGAAAGCUUUCGCGGUAUGGGAUGGGGUCGCGUCCUAUCAGCUUGACGGCGGGGUAACGGCCCACCGUGGCUUCGACGGGUAGCCGGCCUGAGAGGGCGACCGGCCACAUUGGGACUGAGAUACGGCCCAGACUCCUACGGGAGGCAGCAGUGGGGAAUAUUGCACAAUGGGCGCAAGCCUGAUGCAGCGACGCCGCGUGAGGGAUGGAGGCCUUCGGGUUGUAAACCUCUUUUAUCGGGGAGCAAGCGUGAGUGAGUUUACCCGUUGAAUAAGCACCGGCUAACUACGUGCCAGCAGCCGCGGUAAUACGUAGGGUGCAAGCGUUAUCCGGAAUUAUUGGGCGUAAAGGGCUCGUAGGCGGUUCGUCGCGUCCGGUGUGAAAGUCCAUCGCUUAACGGUGGAUCCGCGCCGGGUACGGGCGGGCUUGAGUGCGGUAGGGGAGACUGGAAUUCCCGGUGUAACGGUGGAAUGUGUAGAUAUCGGGAAGAACACCAAUGGCGAAGGCAGGUCUCUGGGCC
This 651-nucleotide ribosomal RNA is filed under the name Bifidobacterium longum. Its description in RNAcentral is "bacterial SSU rRNA". It matches the Rfam family "Bacterial small subunit ribosomal RNA", at positions 70 to 735 of the family's 1533-position model. Lineage: Bacteria; Bacillati; Actinomycetota; Actinomycetes; Bifidobacteriales; Bifidobacteriaceae. The record is from RNAcentral.